AUGUAAACAUAAGUAAGAAAAACUCUUUACUCACCUACAGUAUUUAACAAGAAACAGCUUCCUUUCUAAAACAAAUCUAUGAUCAUCUCGCAAUAAAAAAAGAAAUUGAGACUGUGUAUUUAGAGUGUUCUAGUGGAUUUUAAAAUUAUAUAAAAUAAAUAUUAACAUAUUUUUUAAAUAAUAGAAACUGAUACAGUAUUUAACUCCAUUAAGUCAUUAUAUAAACAAGAAUUUAAUACUCAUUAAUAAUUCACCCCAAUUUAACAAUCACAAACUGAUUGUAUGAAUAAUUCAUUUCUGUUGGCAGAGAAAUUAAUUAUAACUGACAAUUUGACCUAAUGUGACAUGUAUCAAUGCUAGACCAGACAAUAAGCUACUAAACAAGUUUAGCACAGAUAAAAGUUGCACCCUGACCCCUAUUAUCUGUAGCUUUGUCAGUUUGUGGCAAACCACGGAUCUUCACACAUCACCACUGCCAUGGCUGACCUAUCUAGUGAGAAGACACUCCAAGCUCCUCCUGAUCCUCAAGCUGAGACCUUUCUUUCCAAGAUCAAAAGGCUGCUCUUUGGAGAAACUGAAGCAAGCAAGAAGAGCCCCAAAGUCUACCAGUAUGGUUGCUGUAUUAUUAUAUUGUCUAU
Long non-coding RNA from Homalodisca vitripennis (glassy-winged sharpshooter), 638 nucleotides. RefSeq lists it as uncharacterized. The transcript is spliced from 3 exons. The record is from RefSeq and is a predicted model, not a curated record. NCBI's taxonomy places the organism in Eukaryota, Metazoa, Arthropoda, Insecta, Hemiptera, Cicadellidae.